Molecule: RNA transcript, 2400 nt
Organism: Chiroxiphia lanceolata (lance-tailed manakin)
Lineage: Eukaryota; Metazoa; Chordata; Aves; Passeriformes; Pipridae
Gene: ANKRD16
Gene name: ankyrin repeat domain 16
Exons: 7
Source: RefSeq, a predicted model, not a curated record
GAGAAGGAAAAUUUUAGUUCUCCUGAGGGAGAAGGAAAAUUUUAGUUCUCCUGAGGGAGAAGGAAAAUUUUAGUUCUCCUGAGGGAGAAGGAAAAUUUUAGUUCUCCUGAGGGAGACGCCAUUUUGUGGACUUCCUUGGGAGAAAGGAAAUCCCUGUUUUCCAGGAGAUUCCUGAAGGCAGAGGCCAAGUCCUGCUUUCCCUGAGGGAAAACCUCAUUCCCGCUCAUCCCAACCCCCGGAACAUCCCUCCCUUUUCCCCGCUAAUCCCGAUUUUCCCCCUGUUUUCCCUCAGCGCCGGCUCCAUGGCGGAGCGGGAGAGGCCGCGGCGGCUCCUGCGGCUGGUGCAGGAGGGGAGGCUGGAUCUCCUGAGGGACGAGCUGCAUCCAGAGGACAUUCCAGAGGCAAGGAGCCGGCGCUGGGGUCGCCUGGGGGACACCCUGCUGCACCACGCGGCGCGGCUGGGACACAGGGACGUGCUGGAAUUCCUGGUGCGGGAGCUCGGGAUGGACGUGGAGGCAGCCAACGGGGACUACAAGAGGCCCAUCCAUGAGGCGGCUUCCAUGGGGCACGGGGAAUGCGUGUCCUUCCUCCUGGAGCGCGGGGCCAGCGUGGACUGCCUGAAGAAGGGCGACUGGACUCCCCUCAUGAUGGCUUGCACCAGGAAAAACCUGGAGGUGAUCAGAUCCCUGGUGGAGCACGGAGCCAACCCGCUGCUGAGGAAUAAGGAUGGCUGGAAUUGCUUCCACAUUGCCAGCAGGGAGGGGCAUCCCGAGGUGCUCCGGUACCUCCUGGAUGUGUCCCCAGGGAUCUGGGACACGGAGAGCACCAUCAGGAGGACACCCCUGCACACGGCAGCCAUGCACGGCUGUUCCCGGGUCGUGGAGCUGCUCCUGGAGCGGUGCCACUACCUACCUGACAGCAGGGACAAGUGUGGAGUCACUCCCUUCAUGGAUGCAAUCCAGAACGGGCACCUCGACAUCGCCCGGAUGCUCCUGGAAAAACACCAGGCCUGUCCCACAGCCAUGGAUGCCCUGGGAGCUCAGGCCCUGCACAGGGCAGCCGUGACAGCCCAGGAUGGAUCCAUCCAGUUCCUGGUGUCCGAGCUGGGGGUGGAUGUCAAUGGAAGAGCCACUUCCCUGCGGAUCCCGGCCCUGCACUACACGGCCAAGGAAGGACACGGACACACCAUCCUGACGCUGCUGUCCCUCGGCGCCGAUCUCCAGGCUCAGGACGGGAAGAGCCGUUCCGGUAAGGAAGGAGCUGCUCCUUCCCCCUCUGCGUGACCCCCAGAGCUUCCAUGAGUGCAUCCCAACCUCCAGGUCACCCUGGAGCGCGCAGGGAGAUCCCAAAUCCAUGGAUACCAAAGGCUCUGGGAGCAGCAUGACAUGAAAACAGGGUUUGGUUUUGGUUUUUUCCCGGUUUUCAUUCACUAAUUUUCUCCUUGCUGAAAUUCCCGGUGCUUCUGGCUCGUGGGCUUUUCCCUUGGGGAAGAAGAGAGAUAUUCCCUGGGAGAAGAACAGAGAUGCAAACCAGGGGUUUCUCUUUAUCCACCUCCUUAAUUUUCUUCCACUGGACUUUUCCGGAGCUUCGAUUCUCCGCCUCGCUGGAAUUUGGCUGGAACGAGCCCGCCUGGAGCGGGUUGGGUGGAUGAAUCCAGGGAUUUCCACGAGCUCUCCAGCCUCGAUUUCCCAGCAAACAGCCCAGAAAUGGGCUCAUGAGCAAAUAAUAACACGGGGCUGGGACGUAAAUAGAGUUGCCAUAGCGAUGCCGGAGUCGGCAUUCCCGGCGGGAGAGGCUCCGGCAGCUCCUGCAGCAGCAUCUCUGUCUCGGGAACAAAACCCACAGAAAUGGUUCCAGCCAAAAUUGCCAAAAUUGGCAGCUUUUAACCAGUCCUCAGGUUUGGUUAAAAACACCUGGGGCCAUCUCUCCAUCUGUCCCCUCCGGGAGGGAAUCCCGGCUCCGCGGAGCUCAUCCAGCCCUGGGAUGUUUUCCAUGGCUCCUCCUGCCUGUUGGAUGCUGUGUCAGUGUCCCUGUGUCCUUGGGAAGCUCCUCAUCCCGAUUUGGCACCUGCAUGGAUUAUCCAUGGGGAUCAGGAUGCACAUUAGAUCAGAUAGAAGGAAGAAAUCAUUUGCAAUGAGGGGGGGUGAAACACAAGUUUCACGGGGAGGAAUAUCCAAAGAAUCCCUGGGAAUAUCCAAGGGCAGGUUCAGGGAGUAAAUCCCGGCUCUGCUGAGCUCAUCCAGCCCUGGGAUGUUUUCCAUGGCUCCUCCUGCCUGUUGGAUGCUGUGUCAGUGUCCCUGUGUCCUUGGGAAGCUCCUCAUCCUGAUUUGGCACUGCAUGGAUUAACCAUGGGGAUCAGGAUGCACAUUGGAUUACAGGAAGACAGCUUUUCCAAUGAGG